GCCUGGGUGGCUCAGUCAGUUAAGCGUCUGACUUCGACUCAGGUCCUGAUCUCACAGUUUGCGAGUUCGAGCCCCGCAUCGGGCU
Molecule: transfer RNA, 85 nt
Organism: Felis catus (domestic cat)
Lineage: Eukaryota; Metazoa; Chordata; Mammalia; Carnivora; Felidae
Rfam family: tRNA
About the family: Transfer RNA (tRNA) molecules are approximately 80 nucleotides in length. Their secondary structure includes four short double-helical elements and three loops (D, anti-codon, and T loops). Further hydrogen bonds mediate the characteristic L-shaped molecular structure. tRNAs have two regions of fundamental functional importance: the anti-codon, which is responsible for specific mRNA codon recognition, and the 3' end, to which the tRNAs corresponding amino acid is attached (by aminoacyl-tRNA synthetases). tRNAs cope with the degeneracy of the genetic code in two manners: having more than one tRNA (with a specific anti-codon) for a particular amino acid; and 'wobble' base-pairing, i.e. permitting non-standard base-pairing at the 3rd anti-codon position.
Source: Rfam